This 370-nucleotide transfer-messenger RNA is filed under the name Polyangiaceae. RNAcentral describes it as "JANWXX01 sp025057345 Standard tmRNA". It matches the Rfam family "transfer-messenger RNA". Rfam says of the family: Bacterial tmRNA, also known as 10Sa RNA or SsrA, is named for its dual tRNA and mRNA-like properties. Its role is to liberate the mRNA from a stalled ribosome. To accomplish this part of the tmRNA is used as a reading frame that ends in a translation stop signal. The record is from RNAcentral. Lineage: Bacteria; Pseudomonadati; Myxococcota; Polyangiales. RNAcentral also lists the same sequence under 2 other names.
GGGGGCGAUCGGCUUCGACGGGGGUUACGGGGCUUGGGUUGCGCGUCGGGGGGCUUGCCCACCUCGUCAAAACGGGUAAGAACCACAACUGCCAACGACAACGUUGAAGCGGAAGAGAUCUUCGCGGUUGCUGCCUUACAAAGCAGCCCGCGAGGCGACGUGAGCAAGUUGGUCGCGUCUUGACCACGUCGUAGUGAUCGUGACUGGCGAGGUGCUUCGUGUCCCGAGUACCUCGUGAGAACAAGGGGCACUAGCCGGAGGCGAGCCCGCCUGCAGGCGCAAAUCCGGUGACCUUCGUAUGCAGGCUACGCGCGUAGACGCUCAAGUAACGUGCUUCCGGACCCGGGUUCGAUUCCCGGCGCCUCCACCC